RNAcentral lists this ribosomal RNA (279 nucleotides) under Bacillus sp. J. RNAcentral's name for it is "partial 16S ribosomal RNA". It matches the Rfam family "Bacterial small subunit ribosomal RNA", at positions 91 to 363 of the family's 1533-position model. Lineage: Bacteria; Bacillati; Bacillota; Bacilli; Caryophanales; Bacillaceae. The record is from RNAcentral.
GGAAGCGGCGGACGGGUGAGUAACACGUGGGCAACCUGCCUGUAAGACUGGGAUAACAUCGGGAAACCGAAGCUAAUACCGGAUAGGAUCUUCUCCUUCAUGGGAGAUGAUUGAAAGAUGGUUUCGGCUAUCACUUACAGAUGGGCCCGCGGUGCAUUAGCUAGUUGGUGAGGUAACGGCUCACCAAGGCAACGAUGCAUAGCCGACCUGAGAGGGUGAUCGGCCACACUGGGACUGAGACACGGCCCAGACUCCUACGGGAGGCAGCAGUAGGGAACC